UCCCAAGGUCCCUUCCUUGUCCUGCCCCUCAGAGUUCCCUCCUAGUGUCACCCCAGUUAGUCCUGGGUGGGGCCCCUCCCAGCUCUUCACCUGCCAGCCUUUACCCCCUGGUCCCUGCACCAGCAAGUGUUCAUUCAUCUACUUCCAGACACUAUCCCCUUCCCACAAAAAAAAAGAGCCACUAGCAAAACCAUUAGUGUGACUAUCACCAUAA
Molecule: long non-coding RNA, 214 nt
Filed under: Homo sapiens (human)
Lineage: Eukaryota; Metazoa; Chordata; Mammalia; Primates; Hominidae
Description: non-protein coding lnc-CBX1-2:1
Source: RNAcentral